RNAcentral lists this ribosomal RNA (520 nucleotides) under uncultured microorganism. RNAcentral's name for it is "bacterial SSU rRNA". It matches the Rfam family "Bacterial small subunit ribosomal RNA", at positions 9 to 511 of the family's 1533-position model. The record is from RNAcentral.
GAGUUUGAUCUUGGCUCAGGAUGAACGCUGGCGGCGUGCCUAAUACAUGCAAGUCGAGCGAACAGACGAGGAGCUUGCUCCUCUGACGUUAGCGGCGGACGGGUGAGUAACACGUGGAUAACCUACCUAUAAGACUGGGAUAACUUCGGGAAACCGGAGCUAAUACCGGAUAAUAUAUUGAACCGCAUGGUUCAAUAGUGAAAGACGGUUUUGCUGUCACUUAUAGAUGGAUCCGCGCCGCAUUAGCUAGUUGGUAAGGUAACGGCUUACCAAGGCAACGAUGCGUAGCCGACCUGAGAGGGUGAUCGGCCACACUGGAACUGAGACACGGUCCAGACUCCUACGGGAGGCAGCAGUAGGGAAUCUUCCGCAAUGGGCGAAAGCCUGACGGAGCAACGCCGCGUGAGUGAUGAAGGUCUUCGGAUCGUAAAACUCUGUUAUUAGGGAAGAACAAAUGUGUAAGUAACUAUGCACGUCUUGACGGUACCUAAUCAGAAAGCCACGGCUAACUACGUGCCAG